AGUGGCGGACGGGUGAGUAACGCGUGGGUAACCUGCCUCAUACAGGGGGAUAACAGUUAGAAAUGACUGCUAAUACCGCAUAAGACCACAGCACCGCAUGGUGCAGGGUAAAAACUCCGGUGGUAUGAGAUGGACCCGCGUCUGAUUAGGUAGUUGGUGGGGUAACGGCCUACCAAGCCGACGAUCAGUAGCCGACCUGAGAGGGUGACCGGCCACAUUGGGACUGAGACACGGCCCAA
This 239-nucleotide ribosomal RNA is filed under the name uncultured bacterium. RNAcentral's name for it is "partial 16S ribosomal RNA". It matches the Rfam family "Bacterial small subunit ribosomal RNA", at positions 94 to 334 of the family's 1533-position model. The record is from RNAcentral.